AAAAUGUCGUAACCGAAGGAUUGAUCCUAAACUAAGGGGUUUAAGGAUCAAAUCCUUAAUCACGUGGCAAGGCGGGAGUGGUCGUGGUAGGGGUUGUGUUUCGUAUGUGGAAAAAAACAUUCAUUCUCUUUCUCCGUCUCGAAAAAAAAACUCUCCCGAAGGCGAAAGGCGAUUCAGAGAUCGUGAAACGGUGAAGGUUUUGAAAUGGAGGAAGAACUUCGCGAUAAGAAAGCACAAAAAGAGUACUACAACAUGAUCGAUUUUGUUGCAAAUGCGCAACAGGGGAUUCCCAAAAUUUGCCCCUGUGGAUCAAUCACGAAAGAAACCGUUGAUGAAGAUGAUACGUACGACUACCUCCCGGGAAAAAAGAUACUUUAUCUGCAAAGACUUUGAGGUAUGUACUGUAAUUAAUCUGGUUAUUUUUAUGGUUCAUAUUCUGACAAAUGUUUAUCUUUUUUUGCAGAAUGAUGGGCUGCAUUUCAGGCAACCAUGGGUUACGGCUAUUCAUGAAGAAGUUGAGAGGCUCAAAGAACGGUAUCACGAGCAGGCGAAGCUUCUGAGAGAGUGCCAGGCAGUUAAGGUGAGUGAUGAGUGAUCUGUUAUGUCUUUAGGACUUUACUUAUAUGUGGGUAGGACUAUAGUUCUGUAAUAACUGUAUGAUGUAUGUUCAGGACGAGGUGAGAAUGCUGCAGGACGAGGUGAGAAUGCUGCUUAUGCGUGUGGCUGAACUCGAGAGAGCCCUGUGAGGUUAGUGGAUUAAAUUAUCCUUCAUCUCUGCCUCGUGUGAAAUUAGUAGGAGUUUGCAAAUAAUAUCCAUACUGCUUCAUUAAAUCUCGCUUUCAAGAUGAAUAAUUAUUGUAUGUUUGCAUUUAAUCAUUCAAUAAAUGAAUUUUCAAUUUUAAUGUUUUGCAACUUUCAUAAUUUUUAAUUUCUUAAAAAAAAAAAAAAAUUAUAAGAUCUUCAUAGUAGUAACACCAUU
This is a long non-coding RNA of Brassica napus (rape), 979 nucleotides long. RefSeq lists it as uncharacterized. The transcript is spliced from 2 exons. Lineage: Eukaryota; Viridiplantae; Streptophyta; Magnoliopsida; Brassicales; Brassicaceae. The record is from RefSeq and is a predicted model, not a curated record.